AUGUACCACGUACACUCCGGUUCCUCCACGCGGCCGCACCCACCCGACAACUGCUCGCUAUUUGUUGUUAGCC
This 73-nucleotide small RNA is filed under the name Xanthomonas campestris. RNAcentral describes it as "sX9 sRNA". It matches the Rfam family "Xanthomonas sRNA sX9". Lineage: Bacteria; Pseudomonadati; Pseudomonadota; Gammaproteobacteria; Lysobacterales; Lysobacteraceae. The record is from RNAcentral.